This 72-nucleotide transfer RNA is filed under the name Camelus bactrianus (Bactrian camel). It matches the Rfam family "tRNA". From Rfam's summary of the family: Transfer RNA (tRNA) molecules are approximately 80 nucleotides in length. The record is from Rfam by way of RNAcentral. Lineage: Eukaryota; Metazoa; Chordata; Mammalia; Artiodactyla; Camelidae. RNAcentral also lists the same sequence under 1 other name.
GAGGGUGUAGCUCAGUGGUAGAGCUCACUCUUAGCAUGCACAAGGUCAUGGGUUCAAUCCCCAGCACCUCCA